Molecule: long non-coding RNA, 1746 nt
Filed under: Triticum aestivum (bread wheat)
Lineage: Eukaryota; Viridiplantae; Streptophyta; Magnoliopsida; Poales; Poaceae
Description: long non-coding RNA (TAES_LNC004766)
Source: RNAcentral
CAUUAACCCGAAAGAAUCUCCUUAUAAUUGAGUGUGCAGUAAAGGGGGUUGUUACACCAAAUCCCUCUGGUGAAGCUCUAUCCAACUGCUUGUUAAUAGCGGAUUGGGUAUUGGUCGAUCGAAAGCUGUGAUACGCAAAAUCCUCAGCAGAAUGAAAUGCGGACUACAAUUAAGUUAGUUGAAAAAGAGAGUAAGGAAUGGGACCGUCAACAGGAACUCUUGAAUUGAGGGUUUUUCACACUACCUAUAGAGAGAUUGAACCAACACGGUGCCCACGGUAACUCCUCCACCCGUACUGUUUGCUUUCGUGGGGCUUUGCUGCGCUUUGGAUCUUAUCAGGUGGCAACCACCUUCGGUUCUAGACUCUGGCACUUCCCCUGGCUGUGGCACUUUCACUGCCGCCUACUCCUACUAUUGGGUCGGUUGUGGUUGGUGUUUUUAUUCAAAAGUGGAGAAUAGAUUGUUCAUUGCGAAGGAAAUCAGAAAUCUACAUACAAGGGUCANNNNNNNNNNAUAUAGCUGUUUUGCCUUCUUUCUUGGACUCUCAGGUGAGCGCUUAGGCCAAGCCACAAUUACCAAGGCAUGAUUGAAUCCGCCAAAGAGAAGGGAAUAGAUGAUCUCACUGGAAAAAGUUGCGUAACCCCCCCCCCCCGUUUUUUUGGCAUGAUUUCAAGAUUUUGACCUGAUUUAUGAGAAAAGAACUUAGUUUUGCAUUAACCCGAAAGAAUCUCCUUAUAAUUGAGUGUGCAGUAAAGGGGGUUGUUACACCAAAUCCCUCUGGUGAAGCUCUAUCCAACUGCUUGUUAAUAGCGGAUUGGGUAUUGGUCGAUCAAAAGCUGUGAUACGCAAAAUCCUCAGCAGAAUGAAAUGCGGACUACAAUUAAGUUAGUUGAAAAAGAGAGUAAGGAAUGGGACCGUCAACAGGAACUCUUGAAUUGAGGGUUUUUCACACUACCUAUAGAGAGAUUGAACCAACACGGUGCCCACGGUAACUCCUCCACCCGUACUGUUUGCUUUCGUGGGGCUUUGCUACGCUUUGGAUCUUAUCAGGUGGCAACCACCUUCGGUUCUAGACUCUGGCACUUCCCCUGGCUGUGGCACUUUCACUGCCGCCUACUCCUACUAUUGGGUCGGUUGUGGUUGGUGUUUUGAUUCAAAAGUGGAGAAUAGAUUGUUCAUUGCGAAGGAAAUCAGAAAUCUACAUACAAGGGUCAAGAUGUAAGCUCAAGUUAAGUGGACGGGUCCAAAGAUCAGGGAAAAGGGUAGACCGGGACAUGGUUGCAAGGGCUAUAUAUCUAUAUAGUUACAAAUGAAUGAAAACGCCAUGCUUAAAGCCAAAAGAAUAAGCUCUUGAUACGGAUCUCUUUCAUCUUGUAAAUAAAGUAGGGGCGUCCCUAACUACAGCUUCCUACCAUAAGUAAGACAUUCAGCUAAUACUGAAGAAAUCUUCUUCUGGGGACACCUCUCUAAAAUAAGAAUGAUGGUGUUUUAAAUCUUAUUCGUUUUCUGAUCGAGAAAUGCGAGAAUGUAGUUAUUUUUAUGAAACCGGAUAUUCAACAUGCUUUCCUCGACCAGAUCUAUUUACGGGAGUCGUAUUUCGAACUGACCCCGGGUCUGAUCUAGAAAUGGUAAAUCCUAUUUGAUCUUCAAGGUUAAGUACUUCUGCGAGACUAUCAGCAUCUUAUCUGGUUGAUAGCACUCAACCCACUGACUAUACGUUUUAUAUGGGAGCCCUAACUCCACCAU